CCUUUGUGUAUCUGUGUCCCUGACUAUCCUGGAACUUAUUCUGUAGACCAGACUGGCCUCAAACUCAGAGAUCCGCCUGCCUCUGCCUCUUGAGUGCUGGGAUUAAAGGAGUGCACCACCACUGCCUGUCUUAAAAGCUGUUUCUUUAUCCUUUUAUUUUACUAAUCUGAAGAGCAGCUUUGAAAAUCAGUCAUUUCAAAACACUCUUAUGGCCAAAUCCUUCUCCUCCAGAUGGCUACAUCUUUUCUUCUGGAUACCACCAGAUCAUUCCAGCCACCUGCCUUUGUGGUGUCUCCAGACAAGGACUGACAACCAUCGAAGCAUCGAAACCCUAAGGCUACUUGGAGAGAAGAAGAAUGUCCCUGGAGAAGAGUCCUUCCUUGCCAUCUGGAUCUCCUAGCUUCCCCCUGAAGAGGAGAGAGAGAAAGAGCCAGCAGAUCUUCAAAAGGAUAUGAAUCAGAGAGAAAGAAGUGAAAUCUUGUCCUAGGAAGAAAGGGAGCGAUUGGCAGAAGACUUGUCUCUGGUAAGGCAAUUUACA
This 538-nucleotide long non-coding RNA is filed under the name Mus spicilegus (steppe mouse). RNAcentral describes it as "lncRNA (ENSMSIG00000018672.1)". The record is from RNAcentral. Lineage: Eukaryota; Metazoa; Chordata; Mammalia; Rodentia; Muridae.